UUAGUUCAUAGAUGAAGAAAGUAAGGCGCAGACACAGGGAGUGGCUUGUCCAGGGGUCGUGCAGCUGCACGGUGGCUGAGUAGGGACUUGAACCGGUGGCUUCUCUGAUAUGCCCCCCUCAACUCUCUCCGACUCUGGAGCUCUGUUGGGAAGCUGGCAGGAGCCAGGUCUGUGGUCCAAAAUUGCCUCUCGAUACUGGAAGGAGAGAAGCGGUCGAAUCGCAGACGGUGGAGAUCAGCGAGAGCAAGCGAGCAGAGUUCCGAGGGCCGACUGGGUUGGGGCCCCCUCCACAGAUGGACGAGCUUGGAGGGGAAGAGGUCACGUCAUGGUUGGAGAUCUCACCCCCGCCAACACCGAAGGAGGGCGGUGACCAGGGUCUUAGACCGGUGUGAAAACUGAAUUCCCAGCUGAGGCAGAGGCGGCUCACGGGUGUUGAUGCGUCUUCACUUUUGCCCCUAGGGUAAGGUGGCUUUUCGUUGCCUGGACCCGGUACCGCACCCUAUCAACUUCGGAGGCCCUCACAACUUCGUUCAAGUGCCCGGUUUCCCACGCCGUGGCCGCCUGGCAGUCUCAUUUCGCUUCCGCACCUGGGACCUCACCGGGCUUCUCCUUUUCUCCCGUCUGGGGGACGGGCUGGGCCACGUGGAGCUGACGCUCAGCGAAGGGCAGGUCAACGUGUCCAUCGCGCAGAGCGGCCGAAAGAAGCUUCAGUUCGCUGCUGGGUACCGACUGAAUGACGGCUUUUGGCACGAGGUGAAUUUUGUGGCACAGGAAAACCAUGCAGUUAUCAGCAUUGAUGAUGUGGAAGGGGCAGAGGUCAGGGUCUCAUACCCGUUGC
This 838-nucleotide small RNA is filed under the name Pan troglodytes (chimpanzee). RNAcentral describes it as "retained intron". The record is from RNAcentral. Lineage: Eukaryota; Metazoa; Chordata; Mammalia; Primates; Hominidae.